GGGGGUACAUUAUAGUAAAGGGAUGGAAAUAUAGAGCUCCUGCCCUAACACUUUCUACGGNUUGGCUAGUAGAGAUAGAAUCCAGUCUGCUGUACAAUUGAAAAAAAAAAGAAAUUAGGAGGGUUCAGAACAUUGCAUGCUAUGCAAGUGCUGGAGGAUUCGCAACAUAUUAUCUCCAGUUGAUCUGCAGCAAAUGGUGUGUUAUUAGCGAUGCUUUGGGUUGGCAAAGUUCUCCUUUCUCUUUUGAUCAUUUCUUUCACCUUGUUAUUGGGAGAGCUGGGCGUAAAAGAAAUAGAAUUCUUGUAUGUGUGUUGGCUGUUGGCAGUUGUGGUUAUUCAGGAAUGACAUUAUGUUUAGAGAGAAAGUUUACAUUCACCCCUAAUAAUUGUUUUUCGAAUUCUGUUCCUUAUGCAAUGGAAGAUCUUACUGAAGUCAUCUGAAGCAGAAGAAAUGGAAGCUCUGAUCAUGGUGAUCCAAGGCACUGGACAAAAUUUGAGGACUAUCAAGAUCUGGAGUUGGUUGCGAUUUGUCUUUGGUUACCGUUUAUUUGUGGUUGUCACUUUAGCCUUAGCCAGGUGUUUUGUGAUGUCUAUAAUGUAGCUUUGAGCAUGCAGGUGCUUUGGGGAUGUCGGUGCCCUGUGAUGUAUAGACAAGCUGGAGCCCCCAGCAGUAAACCUGUUGCCUCUGGUGGAUGGAACGGCCUAUAAACCGCAACUAUCAACAGCAGCAACAACUGUACAUGAAGAACAUGAGACAAUCAAACGUGCUCAUCCAUUAUCAACCUUCAGUGAUUGGUAACCACAGUACGGUACGCCACAGCUUGAAUUCCUUGCAGUUCAGGUAGUUAGUGUUACAACCUAUGAGCUACUCCGUCUUGCAAAGUUCUUGUGUUGUAGUUUAAGAAUGUGGCUACCCUUGAAAAAACAAGUUGCAGGUUAGCAGCCAGGCUUCUCCCUUUUGUUUGCCAGUGAACAAUUUUCCCUUGUAUGUAUAGGCCACAUAUAGGCCAUGUUUGCAUAACAUGAGCAGAACUGUCAGGCUGUCA
Non-coding RNA from Oryza sativa Japonica Group (Japanese rice), 1045 nucleotides. NCBI's taxonomy places the organism in Eukaryota, Viridiplantae, Streptophyta, Magnoliopsida, Poales, Poaceae. The record is from RefSeq and is a predicted model, not a curated record.